Sabethes cyaneus is the source of this 82-nucleotide non-coding RNA. The record is from the annotation of a RefSeq genome assembly. NCBI's taxonomy places the organism in Eukaryota, Metazoa, Arthropoda, Insecta, Diptera, Culicidae.
GGCAGUGUGGCCGAGUGGUCUAAGGCGCUGGUUUAAGGCACCAGUCAUAAAUGUGGCGUGGGUUCGAAUCCCACCGCUGUCA